AAAAAGAAUAAAAAAUAAAGGAUAAAAAAAAUAAAGAAACGGAGAUAAAAAGACGAGAGAAUGAAGUUCAACCUUUUUGUUUUUUGAUUGCUUAAAUUGUGUCCUUUACAAUAUUUCGUGUUUGUGGCUAUAUAGCUGAAUACAAAAAUGCUUUAGUAUAUUCAUUGCUAUUGUUUUGCUUCGUUUCUGCUUUUUGCUUUCUUUUUGUUUCUGUUUUUGCAGACUUAGAGGGUCAACGAGGGUGAAAACAUGCCAUUUUGAUGCGAGGAAGCAGCCAUUGAGAGGAUGGUAUGCUGUCAGAGGCACGUGGGGUGCGGGGCAACCGAGGCUGCGGCGAUGGAGUGGAUGGGAACCCUAGGGUUUCCUGAAAAUUUCAAAUAUUUUGGGCCAAUCGGGCCUUGUGAUGUUGGGCUCAAGAUUUUGGGUUGUGUUUUGGGUCUUAAUUGGGCUGAUGGUUUAGGUUAGGUGUUGGGUCUUUUAAUUGAACUAUAAACAUUUUGGGCCCGGGCAAAAUUUGGGUCCUACAGCUGCCCCUCUUUGCUCAUUGUCGUGUAAUGGGAAUGGAGCAAAGACUAUAAGAGGGCCAAUUUUGCCUGGAUCCACUGAGUGGCGCUUUUUUUUCUUUGAGUAGCUUCAAUAUGCCCUACUCCAAUCAGCUCUACUGCAACUCCAGGGAGAUAAGACUUGUUAUUUCAACCUGUUUCACUGCAACUUUAGGGAGGCAAAGGUUUGUGAUCUAUAGCUUCGAUUUACUCCACUGCAACUUCAGGGGGUAAGAUUUGUAACUUCAACCUGCUUCGCUGCAACUUCAGGGAGACAAGGUUUGUUUUGAUUUGUUCUACUGCAACUUCAGAGAGAUAAGAUCUGUAAUUUAUGGCUUCAAUCUGUUCCACUGCAACAUCAGAGAGGCAAAGGUUUGUGAUCUAUAGCUUCGAUGUACUCCACUACAACUUCAGGGGGUAAGAUUUGUAACUUCAACAUGCUCCGCUGCAACUUCAGGAAGACAAGGUUUGUUUUGAUUUGUUCUACUGCAAUUUCAGAGAGAUAAGAUCUGUAAUUUAUGGCUUCAAUCUGUUCCACUGCAACUUCAUAGAGAUAAGACUUGUUUUGAUCUACUCUACUGCAACUUCAGGGAAAUAAGAUUUGCUAUCUCCAGUCUGCUCCACUGCGACUUUAGGGAGAUAAGACUUGUAACUUCAACCUACUCCGCUACAUCUUCAAGGAGAUAAGGUUAGUGGCCUCGAUCUGCUUCACUGCAACUUCAGGAAGAUAAGAUUUUCCAUCUUCGUAGCUUCAAUCGAUCUUGUUACGUUGUCCUCUGAGGGAUAUGACUCGUAAAAUUGAUUUCUUGAGCCUAUGCUUAUGCCAAAUGAUUAGGAUGUCAUGAAUGAAUCAAAUUCCCCAACCAGAUGUGUAUAGGUGAUGUUUGAAUGAAAGCAAAAAUGUUAUUUUCUUUUAAUGCUUAAUUUGAUAUUACUCGUUGUUCAUCGAGGUUUUAUCACUGACGUAUUACUCUCCCCUUUUUCUUUAGCUGGUAUCUUUUUAAGAAUAAUCACAAUUUGGGCUAUUCUUUUCCAAUGUCUCCUUGAAUUUGGGUAAUUCAAAUUAAUUAGUCCCGUUUCAAGUCCUUAUUUCAUUUAAAAUCAUUUCAGAGUAAUAUGCAGAACUCAUUUUGGAUGUCAUUAGUCCAUUAAUCGUUAUUUCAAUGAAAAGUGCUUGAAAAAGAUUAUCGCAAUGGACAAGACGGAAUUUUAUUGAGAAAGAGCUUGAAAUGAAUAAUAUAAUCAAGAUAGCAAAUUCGCUAAGAUACAAACUGAAUAAAAAAUAAAAAAAAUAGGUGCCUCGGAUAUCGUAACAUGAGCUUCUCUGCCCAAAACUUCUUGAGGACCCUUUAAAUUUGAUAUGUGUUUAGAAGACCAAGAGUACUUUGUUCAUGCCCCAAGAUGUAGCAUCCCUCCUUCUUGUUAAUUUAGAGAAGACAAAAUUACUGUAUGCCCCAUUUCAAUCAAAACUUGAAUUGCCCAUUCCUGGGUUUUUAACUCAAAAACCUUUUGGUCUCAAAGUGCCCUUUUUGCGGGUUUUCGCCUUAGCCUUUCCUUUUUUUAGGUAAAGUACCUCUUGACUGAAUCUGAAUUCACGGGGUUAGGCAAGCUUUUGCCAUCCAUCUCAGUCAAGAUCAGAACUCCUUCAGAGAAAGCUUUCUUCACCAUAUAAGGUUCCUCCCAAUUUAGCAUCCAUUUUCCUUUGAAGUCCUUUUGUAUGGGAAAAAUCUUUUUUAGAACAAGGUCUCCUUUACAGAAUUCUCUAGGGAUAACCUUCUUGUUAUAAGCCAGCAUCAUUCACUUUUGGUACAUUUGACCAUGACGAAUAGCUUUCAACCUCUUUUCUUCAAUUAAGUUCAACUGGUCGUACUGCGAUUGGAUCUAUUCUUCUUCAUCUAACUUUAGUUCUGAUAGGACUCGUAGAGAAUGAAUUUCAACCUCAAUAGGCAAGACCGCCUCCAUUUCAUAAACCAAAAAGAAAGGUGUUGCCCCGGUGGAGGUUCUGACUGACGUUCGGUAGGCGUAGAGGGUGAAUGGUAAUUUCUCGUGCCAAUCUUUAUAAGUCUCAGUCAUUUUUCCCAUGAUUUUCUUGAUAUUCUUAUUGGAUGCUUCCACCGCACCAUUCAUCUUUGAGCGAUACGGUAACGAGUUAUGGUGUUUGAUCUUGAAUUGGCUACAGACCUCUGCUAUCGUGUUGUUGUUCAAGUUCAGUGCAUUGUCGGAUAUGAUCCUCUCAGGCAUCCCAUAUUGACAUAUAAUCUCCUUUUUUAAGAACUUGUUGACUACCGAUUUCGUGACGUUGGCAUAAGAAGUGGCUUCUACCCACUUGGUGAAGUAAUCGAUGACCACAAAGAUGAAUCGAUACCCGUUAGACACUUUUGGCAAGAUUGGCGCGAUGACGUCCAUGCUCCACAUGAAGAAAGGCUAUGGAGAAGUCAUGACAUGAAGAGGUGAAGGAGGUACAUGAAUCUUAUCUCCGUAGAUUUGGCACUUAUGACACUUUUUUUCACAAUUGAUGCAAUCCCCUUCUAUAGUGGACCAAUAACAUCCAAAUCUCAUGAUUUGUCUGGCCAUUGUAAAACCAUUAGCGUGUGUUCCGUAGACACCCUCAUGGACCUCUUCCAAUAUCUGCUUAGCUUCGAGAGGGUCCACAUAUCUUAAGAGUACCUGAUCCUUCCUUCUUUUAUAUAGGAUCUCUCCGUCCAAGACAUAGUCACUGGCUAGCCUUCUCAAUGUCCUUUUAUCAGUUUCUGUCGCUUGGUCUGGGUAUUCACGAUUCCUCACGUAUCGUAAUAUAUCCUGAUACCAAGGGUGAUCGUCCUUUUCUUCUUCUUUUUCGAUGUUGUAAUAAUGAGCCAGAGCCUCAUAGAUACUCAUUUGGAUAGGCUUCACAUCCUCCUGUUUAUUUACUUCGAUCAUUGAAGCUAAAGUUGCCAAUGCAUCAACCAUCUAGUUUUCAUCUCGUGGGAGGUAACAGAAAGUGAUAUCGUCAAACCCCUCAAUUAACUCUAGAACCAGCCUUCGGUAAUUGAUCAACUUAGGGUCUCUUGUCUCCCAUUCACCUUUGAGCUGAUAGAUCACUAAUGCCGAAUCCCCGUAUACUUCUAACAUAUUGAUUUUACGUUCAAUGGCCACACAGAUUCCCAUGAAGGCAUGCCUCGUAUUCUGCCAUAUUAUUUGUGUAAUCAAAAUCCAAUUUACUAGUAAAGGGAUAAUGAUCUCUAUUUGGGGAUACCAUAACUGCCCCGAUUCCAUUACCCACAGCAUUUGAGGCUCCGUCAAAAUUCAGUCUCCAAGGAUGAUCUUCUUUAGAGUAUUCUUCCGUGGUCACAACGUACAUUAAGUCUUCAUUUAGAAAAUCAAAACUCAAAGGCUCAUAAUCUUCUAGAGCCCUAUUGGUAAAAAAAUCUGCUAUCGCACUCCCUUUUAUAGCCUUCUGGUUCACAUAGACUAUGUCGAAUUCAGAAAGCAAAAUUUUCCAAUGAGCCAUUCUUCCGUUCAAAACAUUUGACUAAAUCAUGUACUUCAGAGGGUCUAGUUUUGAGAUAAGCCAAGUUUAUGGUACAACAUGUACUGUCUCAGUCUUCGGGUUGUCCAGAUCAAAACACAACACAAUUUCUCGAUCGGCGAAUAUCUUGUCUCGCAUUCAGUGAACUUCUUGCUAAGAUAGUAUAUCACCUUUUCUUUUCUUCCUGACUCAUCAUGUUGGCCUAACACGCAUCCCAUGGAGUUCUCGAACACUGCCAAAUAUAGUAUCAGUAGUUUAUCUAGGCAAGGUGGCAUCAGCACCGGGGCAUUAGACAAGUAAUGCUUGACUUUAUCAAAAGUUCUUUGGCACUCUUCAUCCCAUACACCUGGGUUGUGUUUCCUAAGGAGGUAGAAUAUCGGGUCACAUUUCUCCGUUAGUUGUGAAAUGAACCGGGCAAUGUAAUUUAGCCUUCUUAGGAAACCUCGAACUUCUUUUUGAGUGCUUGGCAGAGGUAAUUCUUGUAUGGCUUUGACUUUAUCUAGGUUGAUUUCGAUCCCCUUUUCACUGACUACGAAUCCUAAUAGCUUUCCUGACUUGGCGCCAAAGGUACAUUUCGUAGGAUUGAGCUUUAACUGGAACUUUCUUAAUCUUAAAAAUAGUUUCUUCAAGACUUUUACGUGCUCCUUUUCUGUUUUGGAUUUCGCAAUCAUAUCAUCGACGUAAACUUCGAUUUCCUUAUGCAUCAUGUCAUGGAACAGAGUUACCAUGGCUCUCUGAUAUGUUGCUCCUCCGUUCUUUAGUCCCAGUGGCAUCACCUUAUAACAGAACGUUCCCCACAUGGUCAUGAAUGUGGUCUUUUCUAUGUUUGUAGAAUGCAUCUUUAUCUGGUUGUAUCCCGAGAAUCCAUCCAUGAAGGAGAAAAGUGAGUAACCUGCCGUGUUAUCCACUAAUGUAUCAAUGUGAGGUAACGAAAAAUUGUCUUUUGGGUUGGCUUUGCUCAGAUCUCGAUAGUCCACGCACAUCCGUACUUUUCUAUCUCAGAUCUCGAUAGUCCACGCACAUCCGUACUUUUCUAUCUUCCUUAGGAACUGGGACUAUAUUGGCUACCCAUUCUGAGUAUUUAACCACUUGUAAGAAACCGGCGUCGAAUUGUUUCUUGACCUCCUCCUUUAUCUUCAACAAAACAUUAGGUCUCAUUCUUCGGAGUUUCUAUUGGACUGGCUUGCACCCUUCCUUUAAGGGAAGUCAAUGUACCACGAUAUCGGUAUUCAACCCGGUCAUGUCUUGAUAUGACCAUGCGAAGACAUCCUUAAAUUCUUGUAGUAACUCAACGAGGUCUCACCUUGUUUCUGCGGUGAUAAAUUCCAAUCUUCACCUCUCUUCCCUCUCCUAAGCUCACAAUUUCCAUUGACUCCUUGUGAGGUAAGAUUUGUUUCUCAUCUUGUUCUACCAUUCUUAACAAAUCCGGAGAUAAGUUAUAGUUUUGGUCAUCUUCAAAAUCUUGAGAAUCUUCUGUACACAUAUCUUACUCAAAAGGAGACUUUGAGUCAGGAGCAGUAUUACUCAUAUCGUUGAUAUCUGGAGACCUGUUAUAGAGAUGAAGAAAAGUCCAAAGAACGAAAGAAUCUAAGAAUAUUUAUUGGUGGUAUGAUUAUGAAUGAAAUGGAAAGAAUAAAAGAAUAUUUGCUCAAGAUAAUACGCAAAGAUGCAUUCUUAUUAAAAUAACGAUAUUGGAUAAGAGCCUAUUUUACAAAAGGAUUCUUAUUGCCCCUAGGCUUAGAGCAAUAAGCUUGUUUUGGACAUUACUCUGAAUUAAUUUUAAAAGUUACAGGGAUCUCCUCCGCGGUCCAAUUGUUUAAGACGCUCCCAGGCGCAUAUGGGCAAAUGCCUACUUGAUUCUCUUCUCUCGUUUCUUCCUCGGAUAUGGCAUUAAUGCUCAAAGUAGCCUCUUUCCCUGUCGAUUUUCCUUCAGAGUAAAUGGUCCCUCCCGACACGAAUGUUCUAGAUAUAUGAGGAAAGAUCAUGGGCUCCCAUUUGACCUCCUCUCCGUUUAAACGCACUCUUCUUCUCUCUUGCCUUUUCUCUAUUUCCUUUUUCUUUUACCUUGCAUCUGGUUUGUACCCUAAGCUAAAAAGGUCUCGUUUAUCCGUAAGCAUAGGUGUCUUGAUCCUUCCUUGUAAGCUUCUUCCAAGCCCCUUUCCAGGUAAAGCCCCUUUCCAGGUAAAGCUCCUUUCCUAACCGUCAGUUGUAAGCCCAUCCUGGUAGUUUUGGAGAUUUUUGGGCACCGGGACCUUGUUCCCUUCGACGACGAAAGUUGCAUUCACAAAUUCUAGUGAUCAGAAAGAACAUUCUAUUACUUCACAUAUGUCCCCACAUAUGGUGCCUCACUGUAAUGGAGGUAAUGAUAUCCUCUUCCGCGUUUACAGUCACCAGUCGGCCUUCUGUUAUAAAUUUGAGCUUUUGAUGUAAAGAUGAUGGCACUGCCCCCACUGAGUGAAUCUAGGGCCUCCCCAAUAAGCAAUUGUAAGAAGUUUGAAGUCCAUUACUAAGAAAUCCACCUCAUACGUGCUUGGACCGAUCAAAAGGGGUAUUUCAAUCCUUCCUAUUACUUUUCUCUCGGUGCCAUCAAACACCCUUACUAUAUUUUGGCAUGUCUUGAUAUGAGAACUAUCUACUGGCAACCUAUUCAGUGUGGAUAGGGGUAAGACAUUUAGUGUAGACCCAUUGUCAAUCAUACUCCUGGUAGUGUAUGUCCUUUACAGCGGGUGGUGAUGUGUAGCGCCUUUGUUAACCCCAUUCCCCCUAGCGGUAUUUCAUCAUUAUUGAAAAAUAUGAAAUUAUCGGUGCUUAUAUUAUUGACGAGUUGGUCCAGCUUGUUAACAGAGAUAUCAUCUGUGACGUAAGUUUCGUUUAGUACCUUCAUUAACGUGCUCCGAUGUGUCUCUGAACUCAAGAGUAAAGCUAGCACCGAGAUGCGAGCCAAUUGCUUAUGUAACUGUUCAACCACGCUGUACUCACUAUGCUUAAAGAACUUUAGGAAUUCUUUAGCUUCAUUCUCGGUUAUUGGCUCGUUGAUUGGCGAUUCGAGCCUGACCGUCUUUUCCUUCCUUUGUUCGACCACUAGGGUCUUUCCUUUAACAGUUUCAGUUCCUGUACGCGCGGGAUCAUAACGUCUCCUGCUGCGUGUAUAGAAACCUACAUCUUGGUUCUCCCUUGAAGCGCUAGCCGGGUUCUCCCUACCCGGGAUCGUCACGUUGCAGUCGUAAUUCUAGGGAACCCUUUUACUAUCCUUGUAAGGGAAGGAUACCGGAUUCUGGAUUAUGACUCUCGACGCCAUUUGUACUUCUGCUUCAUUGUUCUUUGGUCGCGAAAUUAUCACCACAGGAUGAUUAUCUCUUUAAACCCAUUUUGUUGUUAUUUUCUAUGAGGCAAAACCUCUCAUUCUUCUGGUCAUUCGAUUUCUUCGCAAAAUUCCAUAUCCUUAUUAUCCAUCAGAUUUUGCACUAUAGACCUGAACUUAUUGCACUCUUGGAUGUCAUGGCCUUCAUCAUCAUGAACCUCACAGUAUCUUCUUGCUUCUCUGAGCCUUGAAUCUUGUGUGACUAAACCUUUUUCCACCAUCAUCUUCCAAACCCAUUUCAACAGGAUUUUUACCUUUGAUACAUCUAUCUUGGUUUUCCUCCUUCCCUUUUCAAUUUCGCGUUUACCCCUUUGUCUGAAUGACUAGGUAGCGGAUUCCCUGCCAUAUUAGGUCCUAUGGGCUCAUCGAAUUUCACAACGCCUAUUCCUAUGAGCCUUUCGACUACCUUUUUGAAGGCAGUGUAAUUCUCAAUCGUGUGUCCUGAGAUUCCGGCAUGGUAUUCUCAUUGAGCGUUUGCGUCAUACCACUUAGGGAAUGGAGGUUGCAGGGGUUUCAAGUAGUAAGGUGACACCAUAUGGGCAUCGAAUAAACUCUGAUACAACUCCCCGUAUGACAUUUGGAUAGGCGUAAACUAGACUCUUUCUGUGUUAGGCCUCGGGUUUGAAUCUUGUCUUGUAGAUCCUUGAUGGCUGGUAGUCACUGUCUUUGGUUGGCUCACAGUGACUGGCUUGGAAUAACUCUUAUUGUAUACGCUCGCGUUGUUCACCUCAUUUUCUUUCCUUUUCGAAGCUGAUCUUUUGGCAUUUUCCCCUGUUUCGAUCUUUCUGCAUCUUAUCGCGUUUUCUAUCAUCUCUCUUGACAUUACUAUGUCUGAGAAACUCUUAUUAGCGCUUCCCAACAUGUGGUUGAUAAAUGGAGCUUUCAGAGUGUGGAUAAAGAGUAUAGUCGUUUCUUUCUCCAGAAGAGGUGGUUGGACUUGCAUCGCCACCUCUCUCCAUCUUUGGGCGUACUGCCUGAAGCUCUCAUUUUGUUUCUUCUCCAUGUUUUAUAACGUGAUUCGAUCGGGUGCUAUGUCUGUCACGUAGCCAUAUUGCUUCAUGAAAGCUUGUGCCAAGUCAUUCCAUGAGUGGAUUUGCGCGAGACUUAGUUUGUUGUACCAUUUGGCCGCAGACCCGACCAAACUGUCUUGGAAGGAGUGGAUCAAUAAUUGAUCAUUAUGAACAUACCCUGCCAUUCUUCGACAAAACAUGGUGAUGUGGGCCUCUAGAUAACUAGUUCCAUUGUAUUUUUCAAAGUCUGGGAUUUUGAACUUAGGAGGGAGGACUAGGUCUGGGACCAAGCUCAAAUCUUUAGCAUCGAUCCCACAAUGAUAAUCAGCACUUUCCAUCACUCUGAACUUUUCCUCUAACCACUUGCAUCAGUCUUUCAAAUCUUUUGAGAGCCCCGUACUCACUCUUUCUUCUUCUACCAUGUUAUCUAGAUCAGAGAUUAUAGGAUUAACAGGGUUAUCCCCGAGAUUAGAGCCUGAGCCCGUUUGAUAAUUGAUUGGCAUCGAGGUAUCAGCCUGAAAUUACUGAGGCCUGAUCGUAACGGAUGGUCUUUGCAUGUGUAGCUCGGGUUACGUUUAAGCAUUCAUCGGGGUGAAACCAGGAGGUAGAGGGGAUCUUCAGUAAUGGAUGGCCUCUGCGUGCGUGUUUCAUGCUGUGUUUGGGCAUUUGCCGGGGUAAAACCAGGGGGUAGGGGAAUCUCCAUUUUUAUUUCCCAUAUCGGCCAUAGGGCCCUUUCUUUUGUCUGGCCUACUAGUCAGUAGUCGGGUUAGCUCUUCCAUCAUAUUUCUUUGGGAUUCCAGCAUCUGGUCUCUCAUUUCCUGCUGGAUUUUUGCUAACUAUUCUUGCACUUGUGCUUGCAUCUACUCCUGCAUCUCUUUCUGCAUUUGCUCUAGUCUCUCUAGUUUUUUAUCCGUUGCUUUAGUUUUUCUUCUUGUACUGUAGGGAUGUGUAUUUGGGAGAUUUUCGUCAGUUUCCAGAUUACUGAAAAAUUUUAAUUAAUUAAGGUCUUUUCAUGAAAUUUAAUGCAUAUGAUGAAAUGUAAUGCAAAUGAAUGAAUGCAAAAAGAGGUGUUGAUUCUAAUUCAAUUUAAUUAGAACAACUUUACUAGAAGAAAAUUUUCUUUACAUAGAACGGAUGGUUACAUAUACGACUUUGCCCUAAUGCCCAAAGCCUUAACCUUCCUAAGAAGCCAAGCUAAGUUUCGGCCUCGAUCUGAUUCUGACUCAUAUUUUAGGCUUAAUACAUCAGCCUGAACUGCCAAGGUUUGCAAAUGAUAGGCUAUCUCUCGAAUUUGAGCCACAGCUUCACCCAUGACAUAAUCUCUACUUCUGAUUUGAUCUUGAGAGUGGUGAAGUUGUUCUUUGCAAUGUUCAUUGUUUGCCACAAGGAAUUCCACUCGACAUUUACUAUCUUGUAGUGCCGCAUCGAGUUCCUCUAUCCAUCCUUUCAACUCCUCGAUUUUGCUUAAGUUGGUCUUUAACUCAAUUAUGGAGUUACGGUUACGAUGCAUAUGUAGCGAUUUUUCCAGUUCGACUAUCCGAGCUUGUAAUUUCUAUUUUUCGCUUUGGCUUUCUGACGAACUCUUUUUCAAAACAUCUUCCCGCAUUUGAACAUCUUGAAACAUCUUGAAACUUCUUCUCCCAGUGAUCAGCUCUAGCCUUUUCUCUUUCAAUUUCUUGACGCCACUGAUCCGACGUCUUACCCAAAUCGGCAGUUCUUAUUGACGUACGCAGCUUCUUAUAAUCAGUCUUCAGACUAUCCAAGUCCUCUUCAGCUUUAUUUUUCCCUUUCCUUAGCUUCUCAGCCUCUAGCUUGUGGAUGUCGACAUCUAAUCCUAGCCGCAUCUUUUCCUCCUCUAAUUGCUCUAUCUUCUUUCCCAAUUCUGAGCUCUUUUUCUCAAAGUCUUGCUUGAUGAUUUCUAGCUCGGAUGGGACUACUUGUAAAUACUCUUCUAUUGGUCGGGCAUUUUCCUGACUUAGCAUUGGGAUGUUGUUGUUGACUCUUUUACCCCACCACCGGUCAUACUCAGGGGUCGUCAUUGGACCUGCCGUGAAUCCUUUCAUUCUUCGUGUUUGGUUCCAAGCAUCUGAUAUCUCACGAACCUUCUUCUUAUAAUUGUUGUCUUUAUAGGAGAACUCACAUUGUUCCAACCCUUGUAUCGUUAGUCUAAACUGUCUUGAUCGAUAUUGCCGUAACACGAGUAAUGGAGCGUAUCCAACGGCUCCCUAUAUUCUAGCCAGAGGGACCCAGUCAAAAUCACCGCACCGAUAUAAGAUCCCGUCGGGGAUCAACCAUGGAGCCCUCCAUUCAACAUCUUCGACUCGUAAAUUCUGGAGAAUAGUUAUCCAUUUCCUUUCUGAGAUGUUGUCUCGCCUCGAUGUAGCCACUAACUCUCUUAAUGGGGAAUAGUCCUUGGAGAAAACCCGAUAAGAGACUUUUUCUACCUUCCAAAAAUGGCUAUGGAACCAAGCCAAUAGAAGCUGUGCACAACCAAUAAAUCUUCCUUCGUCUGCUCUCCGACAUGCAUUCAAGGAUCUGAAAGUUUCUGCUAGGAUUACCGGGACGGGUGUGGUCCCUUUAUUAAGGCGAUCGAAUAAAUCCGAGACGACUUCCUCUACAUGUCCUAAUGCCUUAGGAAAGAUAAUCAAACCGUAAAGGCUUAAGGCGAAAACGUCAACCCUCUUUUUCAUAUCCGGAUGUACUAAGAUUAAGUCCAUCAAAUUCCUCCAAUACUAUCCAUUUUUUUCUUGAUCCGAGUUGCAACCCAUUGUUCGCUCAUCCCCGUGGUAUUCAUCAAUUUCUUCAAAAAAUUCAGGACAUUAACAGGUCUUGAAUAGGCCCUGUCGGCCUGAAUCUUCGGGCAAUUAAGUAACGCCAUGUAUUCUUUUACAGUAGGUACUAAAUCGACUCCUCCGAAGGUGAAGCAACUGUAGGCGGAAUUCCAGAACUGCACGAGGGCUCGAAACAAGUAUUUGUCCACCUUUACAUCGAGCAGAUAGGGUAGGUCACCGUAAUUACAGUAAAAGAGUUGCUUGACCUUAUUAUUCCAACUAUUCCAUAUAUCCUUUAAUUCUUACAGGUCGUUCUAAGUCACACUGAUGCGAGUGAAAUCCCACAACUCCGAUUCAUAUCCGCCGGUCAAACUAUCUCCUUUCUCUUGUUGCGUUAUCUCAAACCACACUUGGACGGCCACAUUAUCCUCCACUCUAUCAAGAAAUCUUUUUUCCAUGCUAAACUUUUCUAUCUAGUAACCGAAUGUGAAUCAACACCUUUUUAUGAUGAGAUGCCAUGCAAUAAUAGCAAAAUACAACAAGUCAGUAUUAAAACAAAGAAUAAAACUCAAAGCAAACAGGAAAUAAUUAAGCACCUAAUCAGGUAACCACUAGGGUUUAGUGUGUUUCUAGGGUAGGCUCUUAGGGCUCAUUACAUGUGGUUCGAUUCUAAAGUAAAGGUACCUGAACCAGCAGAUUCUUCGAUCCUCACCCAUUAUAGGCUCAUAUGGGCCGAGUUCGAUUUAGAGGAAUACAUUUCCCUACGGCUAUACGGAGAUGAAAAUCUCACGAAGACGCAAGUACGGAUGUAUCCAGAAAGCGAUCCACUAUCCUAUACGGAGGUGAAGACCUCACGAAGGAGUAGUUUCUCACUUCCACUUAAGAGGUAAAAUUGACUGAUUAUGCAGUAUGAUGCGCAAAAGUAUACUUAAAAGAGUUAAACAGAAAGCCAAUCAUAAAAAAAAACAAAAACCACAAAGGGGAAAUGCCAUGAAAUGAUCGCAAGUUUAAAACGAAUUUUUAAUUUUUGACAAAGGACAAAAACUAAUCAAUUUAUGGCUCGACCUUUAGCAGAGUCGCCAGCUGUCAAACCAUUUUUUUGAAAACGGGUAUCGACUUUGUUCGAAAGUGAAGAUUAAAACAGGAGUCGCCACCGAUCUUUAUUUGGUGUGAUCGGAUCACCUUUAUUUAAAAAAAACAAUUUUAGUUUACUAAAACAACAUUUUGGUCUACGAAAUUCAAGAGAACAAGUUCGGGAGUCGGUUACGUGCGAGGAAGGAUUAGCACCCUCGACACGCCCAAAAAUUGGUACCGAACUGAUUAAUUAGUGUCUUAAUGUCGAAAAUUGAAAAUCAGGAAUAGAUUUGUAAUACGAUCCUUUUUUAUUUACAUCGAUUUUAAAAUUCUUGAAUUAGCUCAAAACGAUUGUUAAAGAUUUCCUUAUCUCGAGAUAUCGGAGAAUCACAUCCCGUAAGUUAGGACACAAUACCAUGAAUUCCCGAGCGUAAGGUCGUCUUUAAUUUAAAUUGGAACCCCGUGUAUUUUAAAACUCAAAAGGAUAUUUAGCUAUUUAGAAUCAACAAGAGAACCGAAACCCCGUAAGUUAGGGCACAAUUCUUCGAUAUUCCAAAACGCGAAACAUUGCCUCAUUUUGAAAUUUCAUUUUUUGAAUAGUAGUGAAUACGGUAUUUAAACGACAUAUAUUAUUUGUUUAGGUUAAAAUAAAACGUUUUAUUGGAUAAAUGUAUUGGGGUUUAAUUCAUGAGGCGAUGAUAUGAAAAAAUAUAGUAAUGAAUAUGAGACAAAUUAAAUAUUAUACAUGAAAAUUUAGAAUAGAACAUAUAUAAAAUAAUCUAAAGUAAAGAAUAUAUUAAAAUAAAUAAUACGUGAGAAAUAAAAAAAUGAAUUUUAAACGAUUAGAGUAGUGUAAACGAAUAAAGUAUGAAAGGAAACUUAAAAUGGAUAAUACAUAUACAACCGUUUAAAACAAAUAACGUAUAAAAAUAUUUAAAAAUAAGUGAUAUGUAUAGUAGUUAAAACAAAUAAUAUAUGUAAAAAUAUUUAAAAUCUAUAACAAUUUACAAUACAUAAGACGUAAAAAGGAUUACGAUAACUAAUAAUAAAAUGUUCUAAUAUAAAUAAUGUAAGAUAAACAAACUUAAAAUAACUAACAAUAAAACAGCUCCUAAAAAGUUGAAAUAAUAAAUAAAUGAACAAAUUAAAUAGAUUAGGGCUAAGCUGAAAUUUAAUUAAAAUUUAAGAUGCAAAUUGUAAAAAAAUAGGCCACUAAGGACCGAAGUGAAACGCGCAUAAAGAACGAGGGACUGGUUGGGAAAAUAUUCCCGCCCUCCAUGCGCAGUGUUUCAAACGGGACAAAAUUGAGAUGAGAGCAAAGAACACGGGAUCAAAAUUUAAAAAAAAACGCAAAAGAAAGAAUAAAAGGGGGCAAAUUGAAAACAAGAGGCAAAACAGAAGGACCCACAGCGCAAAUAUCCCAUUUGAGCUUUAAAAACAUGCGGAUCGCCCCAUUAAUCGGGUCGGGUCGCGGGUUCCCUCCCCAAAACGACCUCGUUUUGAGGCGUGUGGGGAGGGUAGUAAAACGCUGUCGUUUUACUCUGCUAUUAAAGCCCAUUUUUUUUUUUUUUAAUUUCAGCAACAUCUAAAAAAAAAUAAAGAGUUCUCAUUGCUCUCCCUUCACUCCCAUGUCUGGCGAUAGGGUUUCCCGGUGUCCAUUGCGCCGCCGUUGUGGGCUAGUGGCCGGCGUUGCGCGAAUGGGAUUUUUCCGGCUCCGAGGAGGCCAACGGAGAAGAGUAACCUCCCUUUUCUACUCUUUCGUUUUAUUUUUUUAUUCCAAAAAAAUAUAAAAGAAAACAAAAGCUACAGAUAUUUAAGAGCAAAAAUGAAAUAAAAGAGGAAUCACCUUCUAAAGUUUUGGUUUUUGAUUGAUUUUUUGUAUUAGAUUCUCUUUGUUUUUUUGUGUUUCAAAACUGACUUAAGAAAAAAGAAUAAAAAAUAAAGGAUAAAAAAAAUAAGAAACGGAGAUAAAAAGACGAGAGAAUGAAGUUCAACCUUUUUAUUUUUUGAUUGCUUAAAUCGUGUCCUUUACAAUAUUUCGUGUUUGUGGCUAUAUAGCCGAAUACAAAAAUGCUUUAGGCUAUUCCUUGCUACUGUUUUGCUUCGUUUCUGCUUUUUGCUUUCUUUUUGUUUCUGUUUUUGUAGGCUUAGAGGGUCAAUGAGGGCGAAAACAUGCCAUUUUGGUGCGAGGAAACAGCCAUCGGGCGGAGGGUACGCUGACGGAGGCACGUGGGGUGCGGCGCAACCAAGGCUGCGGCGCUGGAGUGGAUGGGAACCUUAGGGUUUCCUGAAAAUUUCAAAUAUUUUGGGCCAAUCGGGCCUUGUGAUGUUGGGCUCAGGAUUUUGGGUUGUGUUUUGGGUCUUAAUUGGGCUGAUGGUUUAGGUUAGGUGUUGGGUCUUGUAAUUGAACUGUAAAUAUUUUGGGCCUGAGCAAAAUUUGGGUCCUACAGAUAAAAUUAUUAGAAAUUUUAUUUUGAGUCAUUAUGAUGCUAAACGAUGCAUUAAUUUAAUCCAGUGGGAUGCUAAGUCUUAGGAUUGGUUUGCACACAAUAUAUUUUAUUAACAAGUAUUUUCUUAUUAAAUUCGGAUUCCAAUUGAUCUAAAAUUAAUAUAAUGCUUUUCGAGUUUUAAAGUCAACUUAUAAGUGGAAGGAAAACAUUAUGUUUUGUCGAUAUUUGAAUAGUUUCUCUAGAUUAUGGAAAGGUAUCUCUACAAUUUGUGGAGCAGUUUAAGAUGGCAUAAUUUGGAAUUUAGGAAUGGGAAAACCAUUGACUUUUAGAGGGAUAAAUGUGACAUGAGUCUCAAUGCCAAUUUUAGGCUCAUAGAUGUGAUGGGCUUACACUACCUCAAGGCCCAACAAUAAGGUUAAAUGCCAAGCAAAUCAAACCAAGAUUCCAC
RNAcentral lists this long non-coding RNA (15164 nucleotides) under Gossypium barbadense (sea-island cotton). RNAcentral describes it as "long non-coding RNA (GBAR_LNC012665)". The record is from RNAcentral. Lineage: Eukaryota; Viridiplantae; Streptophyta; Magnoliopsida; Malvales; Malvaceae.